This is a long non-coding RNA of Bacillus rossius redtenbacheri, 1707 nucleotides long. RefSeq lists it as uncharacterized. The record is from RefSeq and is a predicted model, not a curated record. The transcript is spliced from 2 exons. Lineage: Eukaryota; Metazoa; Arthropoda; Insecta; Phasmatodea; Bacillidae.
UUGGCACAGUCACGUCGUCGCAACCACCAGCGCACGCCAACCGUGCCAGCUGCAGGAGCCAAUUCACAGCUGGCCGUGCUAAAAUAGCCAACACAAGGGCUCUAUGCGAUCAGCAGGGUUGUGGCGCUGUUGGGGGAAACAAGCCCCCCCCACCCCUGCUCGAAGACGCAGCGCGCCGAAGCUGGGCACGCACGCUCCAAGAGCAUGGCAGUGCUUAGGACGGCACCGACCUGGCAUGCAGUCUCCUGUGGGACUUUACGGAGCGACCCCAUCAUUUCAUGGUGGAAUAUUGAGCAUAAAGGCUUCUUGCAUGUGUCUAUCCAACUGACAAAACCCUGUAAAAGUUUAUCAUGGUUGAUCCUAAUGGCAUGAUCCUCAAUACAUUGAUCCUGUGGUACAUGAUCCUUGCUGUUUUAAUUCAGUACAAAGAUCCUGGAUAAAACAAAUAUUGUGAUGAAAAAUGACUUAUGAUUGUUUAUCUAAUAAAAUUAAAAUUAAAAAAUUAUUUUUUUUUUUACUUCCUUACAUUGUUUGCAUUGUAAUAUUUUUAUUUUCAGGAUCUUUUGACGUAUUAAAUUAAAACAGAAAGCAUGAUGUACCACAAGAUCAUCUGUACAGGAUCAUGCCAUCAUAAUCAAGGGAUAAACUUGGAUAAGUGAUACGGAACUUUUACCCAAAACUCGGUAUCAACAUUUUCAUUCAUUAAAAAUGCCAGUGUAAAAACGUCUUGCUGUCCAAAAACUACACAUUAAAAACCAAACCAUGAAAUGAAAAUACAAUAGGAAAUUGAAUAGUUCUUAAAUGCUAAUAGUAAUCAGACACAUUUAAUAAAUGUUGAACAGUUUAUAAUUAGCUAACACCUCAAGUUCUGCAUGCAAUUUGUUAGCCACCUUAACCAGAAGCAAGUUGCACGAGUGAACAUCCACGAAAACGAUGGGAUACAACAUAGGUUUAGGUGAAACAAAAACAAACCUUCCUAAUAGGCUCAGUUACUUAACAUUUAGGGACAGAAGAAAAGUGUUCAGUGUAUUUCAAUGUGCACCUAUAAAUGUAGCAUUACUCAUAUUACAUUAGAUACUGAAUUGCACAUGUGCACCAUUUGAAUGUUCUUGCUUUUUUUGUUUUUGUGUGCACAUGGCAAAGAAGUGUCUACCAUUGCAUCUGUUGCGUGAACAAUUAAAUCUUUGUUUUCACAUGUUUAGUACAGUUGCCACACAAAGGCACAUGCAAAUUUUUGCUGCACCAUUAGGCUGACUGGUAAUAAAUCUCAUCAAGUUAGCAACAAAUUUGAGAAGCACGCUUCAGAACCCAAUGACUUUUAAUAAGUGGCCACAGUAAUUUUUUUUUUUUUGAUUUCGCAAAUGCAAAAGUGAAAGCUGCAAAAGAUUUGAGUUUGUGACACGAUCUGAGCCUGGCUACUAGCCACUGGUUCAUGUGAACGGCACUGCUGGCAAUUGGCUACGGAACACACAAUGAGCAUGAAAGAAGCUACGCGUGGCUUUCAAACAUUCAACCAUCCGCCAGUCGCAAUGAACUGCGUCAUCACACUCACCCAGGCAUUGGUCACUUCUCCUAAGACCAACGGCAGGCCUCGAAACUGCAACAAACAGCAGAAAUUCAAAUUUAAUUUGAUGCCACACUCAAAAUGAGUAAUGAUACAUCAUGGUCCGCACCCUUUCAUCCAAUAAAAAAUAAAUGACUUUUUAA